ACGCACGCUGGCGGCGUGCUUAACACAUGCAAGUCGAACGGAAAGGCCCUGCUUUUGUGGGGUGCUCGAGUGGCGAACGGGUGAGUAACACGUGAGUAACCUGCCCUUGACUUUGGGAUAACUUCAGGAAACUGGGGCUAAUACCGGAUAGGAGCUCCUGCUGCAUGGUGGGGGUUGGAAAGUUUCGGCGGUUGGGGAUGGACUCGCGGCUUAUCAGCUUGUUGGUGGGGUAGUGGCUUACCAAGGCUUUGACGGGUAGCCGGCCUGAGAGGGUGACCGGCCACAUUGGGAAUGAGAUACGGCCCAGACUCCUACGGGAGGCAGCAGUGGGGAAUAUUGCAAAAUGGGCGGAAGCCUGAUGCAGCAACGCCGCGUGCGGGAUGACGGCCUUCGGGUUUUAAACCGCUUUCGCCUGUGACGAAGCGUGAGUGACGGUAAUGGGUAAAGAAGCACCGGCUAACUACGUG
RNAcentral lists this ribosomal RNA (467 nucleotides) under uncultured bacterium. Its description in RNAcentral is "partial 16S ribosomal RNA". It matches the Rfam family "Bacterial small subunit ribosomal RNA", at positions 29 to 507 of the family's 1533-position model. The record is from RNAcentral.